RNAcentral lists this ribosomal RNA (502 nucleotides) under uncultured Glomeromycotina. RNAcentral describes it as "partial small subunit ribosomal RNA". It matches the Rfam family "Eukaryotic small subunit ribosomal RNA", at positions 591 to 1092 of the family's 1831-position model. Lineage: Eukaryota; Fungi; Glomeromycota. The record is from RNAcentral.
CCAAUAGCGUAUAUUAAAGUUGUUGCAGUUAAAAAGCUCGUAGUUGAAUUUCGAAAUUUUUUUAUCGGUUGAAUCAACAGGUUCGUACUGAUUUUAAGAAUUUCUACCUUCUGGAGAACCUUAAUGUCAUUUAUUUGAUGUUUUGGGAAACCAGGACUGUUACCUUGAAAAAAUUAGAGUGUUUAAAGCAGGCUUAUGUCUGAAUAUAUUAGCAUGGAAUAAUGAAAUAGGACGGCAUGGUUCUAUUUUGUUGGUUUCUAGGAUCACCGUAAUGAUUAAUAGGGAUAGUUGGGGGCAUUAGUAUUCAAUUGUCAGAGGUGAAAUUCUAGGAUUUAUUGAAGACUAACUUCUGCGAAAGCAUUUGCCAAGGAUGUUUUCAUUAAUCAAGAACGAAAGUUAGGGGAUCGAAGACGAUCAGAUACCGUCGUAGUCUUAACCAUAAACUAUGCCGACUAGGAAUCGGACGAAGUUAAUUUUUUAAUGACUCGUUCGGCGCCUUACG